AGGACGAACGCUGGCGGCGUGCUUAACACAUGCAAGUCGAGCGGAAAGGCCCUUCGGGGUACUCGAGCGGCGAACGGGUGAGUAACACGUGAGCAACCUGCCCCUGGCUCUGGGAUAGCCUCCGGAAACGGGGAUUAAUACCGGAUAUUCACUGCUUCCUGCAUGGGGGGUGGUGGAAAGUUUUUCGGCUAGGGCGGGGCUCGCGGCCUAUCAGCUUGUUGGGGGGGUGACGGCCCACCAAGGCGACGACGGGUAG
Molecule: ribosomal RNA, 256 nt
Filed under: uncultured bacterium
Lineage: Bacteria
Description: partial small subunit ribosomal RNA
Rfam family: Bacterial small subunit ribosomal RNA
Source: RNAcentral